Molecule: ribosomal RNA, 923 nt
Filed under: uncultured bacterium
Lineage: Bacteria
Description: bacterial SSU rRNA
Rfam family: Bacterial small subunit ribosomal RNA
Source: RNAcentral
UGCAGUCGANCGGCAGCACGGACUUCGGUCUGGUGGCGAGUGGCGAACGGGUGAGUAAUAUAUCGGAACGUAUCCAAUAAUGGGGGAUAACUAAGCGAAAGCUUGGCUAAUACCGCAUACGCCCUCAGGGGGAAAGCAGGGGAUCUUCGGACCUUGCGUUAAUGGAGCGGCUGAUAUCUGAUUAGCUAGUUGGUGGGGUAAAGGCCCACCAAGGCGACGAUCAGUAGCUGGUCUGAGAGGACGACCAGCCACACUGGAACUGAGACACGGUCCAGACUCCUACGGGAGGCAGCAGUGGGGAAUUUUGGACAAUGGGCGCAAGCCUGAUCCAGCCAUUCCGCGUGAGUGAAGAAGGCCUUCGGGUUGUAAAGCUCUUUCGCAAGGGAAGAAACGUUACGAGCGAAUAACUCGUGAUAAUGACGGUACCUUGAUAAGAAGCACCGGCUAACUACGUGCCAGCAGCCGCGGUAAUACGUAGGGUGCGAGCGUUAAUCGGAAUUACUGGGCGUAAAGCGUGCGCAGGCGGUUUUGUAAGUCAGAUGUGAAAUCCCCGAGCUCAACUUGGGAACUGCGUUUGAAACUACAAGACUAGAGUAGGUCAGAGGGGGGUAGAAUUCCACGUGUAGCAGUGAAAUGCGUAGAGAUGUGGAGGAAUACCAAUGGCGAAGGCAGCCCCCUGGGAUCAUACUGACGCUCAUGCACGAAAGCGUGGGGAGCAAACAGGAUUAGAUACCCUGGUAGUCCACGCCCUAAACGAUGUCAACUAGUUGUUGGUAGAGUAAAAUCUAUGAGUAACGCAGCUAACGCGUGAAGUUGACCGCCUGGGGAGUACGAUCGCAAGAUUAAAACUCAAAUGAAUUGACGGGGGCCCGCACAAGCGGUGGAUUAUGUGGAUUAAUUCGAUGCAACGCGAAAANCUUUAC